AAGGCUAAGAACAAAUAAUAUUCAGUAAUAUUGCACAGUAGGAAUUAAACAAUGGAAAAUUAUCACUUGCUUCAAAGAAAACAAUUCAAAACUUCAAAUUACCAAACUUCCAUAACACAUGAAUUACAUCCCAAUUUGAGCAAAAUUAUACAAUACUGCCAUAAAUUAAUAAAGCGUGAAUCAAAGGAAAAUUACAAAUUACAUGCCCUAAUAAACCGAAACUAAGUGAUGAUGCAAAUAACACUGUCAGCUACUCAGUGACCAACUCAAGAUGCCAAUCAUUAGAUUUGAACUUUGCACCAAAUGGUUUUCAAUUGGUUCCAAUAGUUAUUUAUUAACCUGGACACCACACCCUUAGAAUUUAAUCACUAAAAACAAGAAGCUAGCCUAAAACUUGAAAAAGGAGCUAAACAUGACAAAGAAAUAUCUCAUAAUUGAGGAAAGAGACACAGGGACAAAAUCAAAUUCUUAAUAAGAACAUAACAUGACUGGAUCAUCAGCUCCCAAGCUUUCUUUUAACAACCUUGUAAAAUUUUAUCCUUGGCUUGUGGCUUGCCAAUCUAACCAACCAUGGCUAGAUCCGCAAGACUUUUGACCAAAUUAUUAAUCAGCAAGUACUUUCCAUUCUUCGGAAUAAAAAAAGAUCGACAUGCUCAAAUCAGCCUGCUUACAGUCAAGAUUUUCCUACUAUGGCUUAAAACCAAAGGACAAUACUAAUAACAAACAAACACAAUCUUAUUUAUGAAAUAAGGAGAAGAAGAACACAGUAUGGUAGCAUGUUUCAACCCAACUAUAGAAUACUAAUAGACCGUUUCCAUUGUCUUCUUACUUCAAUCAUUACUCAAACUUAAAGAAAAUGAACAAAACACAAAACCAAUGUAGAUUUGGAACUUUAAACGAGCUGAAAAUCCCAAGAUCAUUACAAGAAAGCACAAUCUAACUUCAUUCAUACUCAAAUAUCCAAGGAAAUUAGCUUUUCAUUCAAAACACAACUAAAAACCAAUCAUACAAAGUUCAGAAAAAAUACCUAGAAAAAAGAAAAAAAUUAACUUAAUGAAAGAAGGAAGUCUGCAGUAGCUCAGCUCAAACAACCAGCAAUUGAAUUUAUACCUGCGGANNNNNNNNNNNNNNNNNNNNNNNNNNNNNNNNNNNNNNNNNNNNNNNNNNNNNNNNNNNNNNNNNNNNNNNNNNNNNNNNNNNNNNNNNNNNNNNNNNNNNNNNNNNNAGAAAUGAACAUAACAAAAAACCAACGUAGAUUUGGAACUUUAAACGAGCUGAAAAUCCCAAGAUCAUUACAAGAAAGCACAAUCUAACUUCAUUCAUACUCAAAUAUCCAAGGAAAUUAGCUUUUCAUUCAAAACACAACUAAAAACCAAACAUGCAAAGUUCAGAAAAAAUACCUAGAAAAAAGAAAAAAAUUAACUUAAUGAAAGAAGGAAGUCUGCAGUAGCUCAGCUCAAACAACCAGCAAUGAAUUAAACCUCAAAGUUUUAUUUCAGCAUUUGAAAUCCCCCAGCAAAAUGACUCCAGAGAAGAAAAACCAAAAAUUUCUUAAGAACACUUUUUGAAGGUUUUGUUUUUACUCUUUUUUCUAUGCGCUAAUGAUUGGAAAGAGGUUCUUUAAUAGGAGGAAUUCUAGGGCAACACAAUCUGAUUUGCCAUUUUAGAAAUGCCCCUUUAAUUUUUACUUAAAAACACUUACACCCCUGCCUCAAAGAAUUUUCCCCCUCGUUUAUCUUUAAUAGGAUCCUUGUCAGUUUUCUAGAUGUUUUCUUUAAAUCUUAUCCAAUUUCAAACCCUAGCAACACUAUUUUUUACCCUCAUUUUCUUUGUUUUUUCACUGUUCUAUUGUACCGGGUCUGGUUUCAAACCCAAAAACCAAACAAAACUUAAAUAGAAAUUAGGACAACAUUCAAUUAAAGAAAAUCUACAUGAGGAUCUUUUAAGAAAAUAUUAAAAAAAUAAUUAAAACUAAAUAACGAGCUAUUACUCACUGAUCAAUCUAUUAUGCCCUAAAAUAGUUCUAAUUACUCCUAGAUAGAAAAGAAAAAAUAAAAAUAUCCCAGUAGAUGAUUGAAGGAAGAAAAAAGAAAAAAAAGGAAGAAAAAAAAAGGAAGAAUUAUAUCGAAUGAAUUAAAAACUUCAACAGACUAUAAGAGGUAAUAAUGGAUCCACUUGAGACUCCGAUGAGCACAAAACUCGGCUAAAUGAUGGGAAUUGUCACAUGAAUAUUAGCUAGACUCUCGUCCAUGGUCAACGGCUCAUUCAGCAAUUCUCACAAUGUGCCUAGAAGGAAACAAGGAUGAAGCUUGAAGAAAUUGGAUCGUUCAAAGCUAUUUGCCCGAAAUCUGGCCAGAUCUAUGAGAUAGGGCUUUUUGACAUUCAAAAGAACUCCCUUUGUUGACAAACUGAGGAAUUCAUGCAUGUUUUUCACGAAUUGAGGAAUUAAUCCGGAUAAUUUGGACAGAAGGAAAAAAGUUUGGAUUUUUAUUUUUUGAAUCCGCAAUUCAGAGAGAUUGAAUAACUUGGAGAAAGUAACAACGUGACAUGGACGAGGAGAUGAUGGAGGUUGUAAGGUUAAUAUUUGGAGCAUUUGGAGGUGCUACGCCGUAGUGAGACAAUUUUUGGAUGGCGAAGAUACGGAUGAGUGGGCGAUGAUUUCAGAGAGAAGAAAGAAUUUGUUUUUAGUUUAAGGAACUAAUUGGAUUAAUAAAGGAAUUUGGUUGUUUAAUGGGGCCAGGAAACGGCGUAGUUUUUCCAUGUAACUACGUCUUGUCGGGGUGAAAGGGGGGCUGACCGGUAAGAAGGGGAUUGGGUUUGGGUUAG
This 2826-nucleotide long non-coding RNA is filed under the name Nicotiana benthamiana. Its description in RNAcentral is "long non-coding RNA (NBEN_LNC031991)". Lineage: Eukaryota; Viridiplantae; Streptophyta; Magnoliopsida; Solanales; Solanaceae. The record is from RNAcentral.